Molecule: long non-coding RNA, 509 nt
Filed under: Zostera marina
Lineage: Eukaryota; Viridiplantae; Streptophyta; Magnoliopsida; Alismatales; Zosteraceae
Description: long non-coding RNA (ZMAR_LNC005280)
Source: RNAcentral
AUUUUCCAAAAAUAACUGCCAGCGGCCAGGCCGCCGGAAAAUUAUUUUCCAAAAAUAACUACCGGCGGCCUGGCCGCCGGGAUAUAAUUUUCAAAAAAAAAUGUCGGCGACUAAGCCUCCGGGACAAUUUUUGUUAAAAUCGGAAUCCACAAUUUUUUGCCGGCGGCCAAACCGCCGGUAUUUCACAAUUCCGGCGACAUUACUUCCGGCGAUGGAAUAUCGUCGGCUUGGCCGCCAGGAACUAUUAUACCGGCGGCCAGGCCGCCGGAAUUUGCCGCCAGAACUGCGCUGGUUUUUUGUAGUGUUUCUUUUAACAAACGUUCCUUAAUCGGUUGAAACCAAUGUUCUAAAAUUACCUGAAACUGUUGUUCCUCAAAUGGUUUCAACCAAUGUUGCUGAAAUGUUGUGAAAUCGUUGUUCUUUAUUUAGGCGACUCACUUCGCCUUUACUUAUGAAGUCAUUGUUUCUUUAUUCUACAAUUCGCCGUCUUCAAAAAUCGUAUGUCGAAA